AGCUUUGCGCUGUGGCAAUAUCGUAACCAAUGACGUCCAUCCUAGGUGUGAUUAUUGCUAACAUAAAAUUGCUUACUACAUAUUUAUACAAUCAAAUGUUGUAAAAUACACAUUAAGAACAAUGAAAACGAU
This is a small nuclear RNA of Sipha flava (yellow sugarcane aphid), 132 nucleotides long. RefSeq annotates it as U4 spliceosomal RNA. The record is from RefSeq and is a predicted model, not a curated record. The transcript has a single exon. Lineage: Eukaryota; Metazoa; Arthropoda; Insecta; Hemiptera; Aphididae.